Takifugu rubripes (torafugu) is the source of this 3405-nucleotide long non-coding RNA. NCBI's taxonomy places the organism in Eukaryota, Metazoa, Chordata, Actinopteri, Tetraodontiformes, Tetraodontidae. The record is from Ensembl.
AUGAAAGAGCCAAAUGUUGCGAGAUAUCGGAUCAGAUAUCAAGGAUGGAGCUUCGUGCACAACCUCUCCCGCUUGGAUGAGGGUUUAUUUAGGAUAAGGAAGUGGACCAAAGAGCACACUCCAAACCCUGGCUUGGGUCUCCAGUUUCCAUUUUGCAUUUGGGAGCGGCGGACUGGUCCGGCGCCACAGCGAGAUGGUUCAGAUGGGAAAUGAUGUCCAUGUCCCGAGCCUGGGUGGCACCGUGUUUGUGCCGUCUUUCUCCUGGCGUCUGUUCUCAGAUGGGCCACAUCUGCAGGGCUGGAGCCAUCAGGCACCUGCUGAAAGGUAGGAAUAAAGGAAAGUAACAGAUUUCUCAUGCCGUCUUUCAGCAAGUGAAAGAGCAAAAUGAAAAGUGUCCUUAAUAACACAUCCAUUAGAUCCAGAGUGGGUCUCUUCAAUAUGAGCCAUGACUGCAUGUCGAUUUUGUAGUUUCUUCAAUUUAACUUUUUUAUUUCAUGCACAAUAUUCCUUGUCUGGGCUCCCCAAUAUAGUCACUAAAGGGAUUUGAAUGACUUCAGUCUGUGGGUUCCUCCUCUUUGUCAUACAUUUUGGUUCAUAGAAAACUAAUCUUGAUAUUGGAUACACAUCAGGUGCUCAUUUAGGUUGUUCCAUGGCCUCAAAUACACAUCACCAAAUAUACCUAUAGGUCUCUUUAGAUUAGCUUAUGUACACACACGUCACUGAUCUAUUUCCCAUCUGUCACUUUCGAAUGACAGUUUAAAACAGUUGAGGUGUUUCCUGUUAUGAUUUCCUGAGUAGUGGAGCAUGAAACCACAAUUUAAACAAACACUUUACAUUUUUGUCCAUUGAUAACAUGCUGUCAUUGAUGGCUUCCUUGUGCCUCUUCAGUUAUUUGCAACCCCACACACGGCGUACUUUGAAUUUCACGAUGGAAGCCUUCAAAGUGUUCCUGCCGAUCCUUCAGAGGCCAACAGACGACGCUGUCGUCAAGCGUCUCUGUGUGUUUGCUUUUUAUUUUACUCUUUUAACAGCCAUAAAUGAAUCGGUGCGUCUGCAGCAUUGAAGCGCUUUGGUGCAGGAUGUGCACUCGCGUUCGCUUCUGUGAUGUUUUUCCACUCACAGAGACAGUUUAUCUGUUGAGUCCACGACAUUUCUGAGAAAUAAAGCACUGAUUCGAUCUGUUGCUUAGGCUCUGAGCACAAAUGUUGCAUUACGACGUCUGCAGAGGCCUGCGUGAGGCUGCCCUCUUCGUUCUGAGGGUAGGAAGGCUGGAUGUAAGAUUUCACCUGUAGAGCAGUAUUUGUCAUCUGUCAGCACAGGUCUGAUUUGGGGUCAGAGCAAAAUAAGGCAGAGGCUGCAGCUGCUCGAGGAGCUGGGCUCAUUCUGCAAGGACACAUGUGGAAAGCAGAUCACUCAUGCAUUUGCCCAAGUUAGGGAGUAUGGAACAGGGGUGUAGGAGUCAGCAGAUGUUAAAUUAAGCAUGCAGUGAAUAUGUAAUGAGCUAUUAAGGCAGGAGAACAUGACCUGAAUACAGCUGUAUUCUGCUCACAGAUCACAAAAGGUCAGAGGUCUGAAUCUCAGAGCCGUGCCCCCCAUGGUAACCCUGGCAGGGGAGAUGAUAUGGCGAGGAGAGAAUUUGAGCCGGGCAAAUGUGGUGCUUUUUGAAUUUUGCAUUUCCACAUUUAGGUCAAACUUCACCUCAGGUCUUGCAACCAUCUGUUCCUGGGAUGCUGGCCAAGGCCACAGGGCAGGCCCCCAGUAGAAAAGGGAGAGGCUGGAACCAUCUCAGACUCCAUAAAGAGGCCUCGCUGCUCGGCAGAUCCCGCUGAUGGACCCUUUUCCUACCCUGUGUUUCAGGUGUUUUCCCUUUUUAGCUGCGGUCUCCAGGGAGCCAGCUUCAAAAUGGAUGAUUGCCUGCGACCAUCACAUUAAAAGCAUUAAUCCUGCUCUUAUCAAGCGGGGAGUGAUGAAUUAGGAGCGUCAGCUCCGGGCUCACCUCUGUUGUCAUUUGAACAGAAUCAAAGCUUUAAAUCACAGGGCUGCACCUGGUAAUAGGAGGGGGUGGCAGCGGUCUAAUACUGUGUGUGACACAGCCAUACUGCUUCCAGCUGAUUUAAUAAGUGCAAAGGAGGGGGAGGCGCUGGGCUAAAUUAACAUUUGAGCAAGGGAUUAAAUCUGUGAUUGCAAUGGAAAAAACACUCAUUGUUCUAUAGAUUUUUUCAUAUAUAGAAUUUUUUCCUGCUCUGCAAGCAAAAUAACUGAGUCCCAGUGCUGCACUGCUUUCGCUCUCAUAUUUGAUUACUACAACAAUGCUUUACUUUCUUCUUUUUUAUUUCAGCUUCUCGGGUUUCCUCCUGGGGAGGCCUUAAUAAUCUUGCUUGAUGUGUCAGCAGAGGUCCUUCUUCUAACACCAACCACAGACGCCACGCUACACAUUCACAAGGUCAGGAUGAGCCACGUCUUUGCAUUCCUUCAGCAGCCACACAUAAACCCAUUUUUUUUGUGCAUAUUUUAAUGAAAUGAAUUCCCUCGUGUGCAUCUUUUAAAAGGGCUGCGUUCUCUCUUGUUUAUGGAGUACUGCUGUGUGUUUAUGAUAAAAAAAAAUAAAACAUCAACUGCACGAAGCAACCGCUUUAAUGAGUAAAGACAAUGUGACUCGAUUAUUAAAAAUAUUUUGCCAUGCUCAUUUUUGUUCCUACUUCAAAGCAGUUCAUUACAUUUUGUUAAUUAAACCUAGAAUAAUUGAGCGCAGCUUCAAACGGCGGAUUUCUGGCGCUCAUUGAAAUAUGGAUUGGGCUUUGGAAGCCUCAUUUCUGAACAUCCAGACCCUGGAAUGCCCCAAACCAGCUCAGUCUCCUGCACCAUCAUGGAGACCCCUCUCUCCUGUAUCCGUAGUCCUGCCGAGUGAUGCGGACCAAGGUGGCCACGUUGCAGGGAAUAUUAAACGGAGUUUGCUGUCUAGUAAACACAAGGAUUGAGCUGACAUGUCGCCAAAGACAUAAUUUAAAUCUCAGGAGGUCACAGGAAACAUUAGCAAAUUAUCUACCCAAUGCCUUCCAAGAUCUUGCAGCAGAUAAUGGAAAAGCCAAUCUAUUUGGCUGAUCUCUAUCUUAUCGGAAUAGGCCGAGAAAAGCUCACAGUAAUUUCACUUGAUAUGAUAGAAGAUUUCCCUUCACUUUGAGAUUAGGUUUGCCUCGGGGGCCUGGGCUAUAAUUGUGAGCGUCUAACAAGGUGAAACAUUGGUGGAAUUCACAACUAUUUCUCAUGAAAUGCAUGAAGCCAGGGCAACAGUGAGAGAGCUGACCCUGCUGGAGGAAACGUUACUGUCGGAAGGCCUGCUGGCUGGAUAAUGUCAUGAAUUUGAUACAGUGGAGUAGCAAUUUCGACACCAUCAUGUCAAAAUUG